Molecule: long non-coding RNA, 408 nt
Organism: Triplophysa dalaica
Lineage: Eukaryota; Metazoa; Chordata; Actinopteri; Cypriniformes; Nemacheilidae
Exons: 4
Source: RefSeq, a predicted model, not a curated record
UUUAAACUGUCACUGACUCUGAGGGAAAGCGAUUCCGAAGCCGCAUUUAAUAUUACUACACAGCCUGCACAUCCUGUCAAGCGGAAAAAUGCCCUACAGGAUGAAGAACCUUAAAUGAAUACCUGAGCAGUGAACAGCACUGAUAUCUGUGCAGUAUCCACAGGGACUAUUCGACUGCGCUGCCGCAAGAUGGGAAGCAUGCUUCCAGAGAGAUCAAUGGACUAUCAGUGAUUUACAAGAACAUGACAGCUAAUACACAACACCUCCAGCUGACAGAACAGAACAUACUUGAAGCACGAAAGCUCCAGCUCCUCUGAAAGGGUUGGAAGGGUUUCUUCAACGUGAGGAACAUCAGCUGGGGUUUGACUUUCUGCGGCCUGUCGGGGAAAACAGACGCCUCACUUUCUG